UUUCGAGUAGUAUUAGCGGCACGUCUUGCUGCGUUCGUACUGUCCCUCAAAGCUCCACUGCACACUUCGCUGUGUGCGCGGUCACAGCCACAAUGCCCAGCUGUUGUGUGCCAGAAUGCAAGUCACGCGGGUCGCAAGAAGUACCAGCCACCUCCUACCACUUGUUUCCCAAAGACGCCGUUCGUCGGACAAAGUGGAUAGAAGCAAUUUGGCCACCGCAUAUUCGCCGGGAACCUGCAAGGAAGGCUCAUGUUUGUUCGAAGCAUUUCUUAGAGGAGCAUUUUGAUCGCACGUCCGCGUUCAAAGUCCGCCUACGAGAGCAUGCAGUUCCUACUCUUUUGCUACCACAUCCAGUACAACAAGGUGAUAGAGUACCUGAUUCAGCAAGCACCGAAUCAUCCUUUGAUUCCCCUCAGCUCAUGCAAGGUGGUGCUGAAGGCUUGCUGCUGCUUGCACAGGUAAACAUUUUACCUGAUCAUCAUAUUAUGCUUACAGGUCGAGUUGUGCUUGAAGAAUGCACUUGACAAUAAAAUAAUCUGGUCACACUUGGCAUAUUAGAAUUUAAUGUGUAUUUGUACAAUGCAACGCAAGUAAAGCA
This 598-nucleotide long non-coding RNA is filed under the name Rhipicephalus microplus (southern cattle tick). Its description in RNAcentral is "uncharacterized LOC119175578". Lineage: Eukaryota; Metazoa; Arthropoda; Arachnida; Ixodida; Ixodidae. The record is from RNAcentral.